RNAcentral lists this long non-coding RNA (218 nucleotides) under Olea europaea (common olive). RNAcentral's name for it is "long non-coding RNA (OEUR_LNC004617)". The record is from RNAcentral. Lineage: Eukaryota; Viridiplantae; Streptophyta; Magnoliopsida; Lamiales; Oleaceae.
AACCAAUAUGUAAAAGUUGCAUUAUUCAUAAGUAAAAGUUCAGUGACCACUAGUGAUUUUAACCCAAUAUAAACAAACAUACAGAUACGAGAGCAACCAGCCGUUUAUAAAAAAUGUAAGCAACUAUAAUGUUAGCAAACCAAUAAAUAAAGCCAUUGGAAAGCCGCUGUCAACAAUUAUUUUCUAUCUUGUCUAAACAUCUCAACACUGGAUGUUNN